This 279-nucleotide ribosomal RNA is filed under the name uncultured bacterium. RNAcentral describes it as "partial 16S ribosomal RNA". It matches the Rfam family "Bacterial small subunit ribosomal RNA", at positions 506 to 784 of the family's 1533-position model. The record is from RNAcentral.
UGCCAGCCGCCGCGGUAAUACGGAGGGUACAAACGCUGUUCGGAAUCACUGGGCAUAAAGAGCACGUAGGCGGCCUGUUUAGUCGGGUGUGAAAGCCCUCGGCUUAACCGAGGAACUGCACUCGAAACUGACAGGCUUGAGGAUGGCAGGGGUAAGUGGAACUCCAGGUGGAACGGUGAAAUGUGUAGAUAUCUGGAGGAACACCGGUGGCGAAAGCGGCUUACUGGGCCAUAUCUGACGCUGAGGUGCGAAAGCUAGGGUAGCGAACGGGAUUAGAUA